CAGUCGCCACGGGAAUACGAAGGGUGCAAGCGUUAAUCGGAAUUACUGGGCGUAAAGCGUGCGUAGGCGGUGAGUUAAGUCUGCUGUGAAAUCCCCGGGCUCAACCUGGGAAUGGCAGUGGAUACUGGCUCGCUAGAGUGUGUCAGAGGAUGGUGGAAUUCCCGGUGUAGCGGUGAAAUGCGUAGAGAUCGGGAGGAACAUCAGUGGCGAAGGCGGCCAUCUGGGACAACACUGACGCUGAGGCACGAAAGCGUGGGGAGCAAACAGGAUUAGAUACCCCCGUAGUCCCUGUCUCUUAUAU
This 301-nucleotide ribosomal RNA is filed under the name uncultured bacterium. Its description in RNAcentral is "partial 16S ribosomal RNA". It matches the Rfam family "Bacterial small subunit ribosomal RNA", at positions 509 to 809 of the family's 1533-position model. The record is from RNAcentral.